Molecule: ribosomal RNA, 490 nt
Filed under: uncultured bacterium
Lineage: Bacteria
Description: partial 16S ribosomal RNA
Rfam family: Bacterial small subunit ribosomal RNA
Source: RNAcentral
AUUGAACGCUGGCGGCAGGCCUAACACAUGCAAGUCGAACGGUAACAGGAAGAAGCUUGCUUCUUUGCUGACGAGUGGCGGCCGGGUGAGUAAUGUCUGGGAAACUGCCUGAUGGAGGGGGAUAACUACUGGAAACGGUAGCUAAUACCGCAUAACGUCGCAAGACCAAAGAGGGGGACCUUCGGGCCUCUUGCCAUCGGAUGUGCCCAGAUGGGAUUAGCUAGUAGGUGGGGUAACGGCUCACCUAGGCGACGAUCCCUAGCUGGGCUGAGAGGAUGACCAGCCACACUGGAACUGAGACACGGUCCAGACUCCUACGGGAGGCAGCAGUGGGGAAUAUUGCACAAUGGGCGCAAGCCUGAUGCAGCCAUGCCGCGUGUAUGAAGAAGGCCUUCGGGUUGUAAAGUACUUUCAGCGGGGAGGAAGGGAGUAAAGUUAAUACCUUUGCUCAUUGACGUUACCCGCAGAAGAAGCACCGGCUAACUCCGUG